RNAcentral lists this ribosomal RNA (253 nucleotides) under uncultured bacterium. Its description in RNAcentral is "partial 16S ribosomal RNA". It matches the Rfam family "Bacterial small subunit ribosomal RNA", at positions 524 to 776 of the family's 1533-position model. The record is from RNAcentral.
UACGGAGGGGGCUAGCGUUGUUCGGAAUUACUGGGCGUAAAGCGUGCGCAGGCGGUUGUGCAAGACCGAUGUGAAAUCCCCGGGCUUAACCUGGGAAUGGCAUUGGUGACUGCACGGCUAGAGUGUGUCAGAGGGGGGUAGAAUUCCACGUGUAGCAGUGAAAUGCGUAGAGAUGUGGAGGAAUACCGAUGGCGAAGGCAGCCCCCUGGGAUAACACUGACGCUCAUGCACGAAAGCGUGGGGAGCAAACAAG